CUUUUCUUCUUUAUGCUUCUCUUUAUCUUCAUGACUACCGUGCUCUCGAUCUCCCUCCUCCAACUGCCCCAGCUUUUCAUUUGUCACCUGCAAGUCGUUAUCAAGUCCCUCUGUGUGCAGCUUCACUUUCCUUUCAAAAUGUUGUAUGAUGCCCUUAGUGCGAGGUGUAUGUGGUGUUUCGUUACCAUCAUCUGCCCCUGGCAUAGUUCAAAGACAAAGACAACAAAAAGGCAAGUGAAGAAAUAAAAGCCCUACAACUACUAGGAUGUAGCUACAGCAAGUCGCUCACACUCAACCUGUAACACAAGUUCUUACCAAUUCUUACCUUGCUUGACACGAGGGGUCGUCUGCCAACAAGUGUACAACAAUGGACGAAGUGUAUCGGUGCUGCAGCACAAGACCUGUCAAGCUGUAGAGUAUGUGGAGCUAUAGGUGGGCUGAAACAAGGAACGAACUAGCACCACGUUAGUUAUAAAAGUGAGCUGAAUAAGCGUUCGACGAUGGUACUGUGCUGGUCCUAGGCUAGACCGUGCUAGAGACGCGAGCCUGGACACAGCACACCCCCGAAAACAAGGUGGAACAAACCUAAAAUCAAUAUGAAAAACAGCCCCUUCUUUUUUUUCUUUUGAAUCUUUUCUCUUUUUUUUUCUUUUUUUUUGGGCAACCUCAAAAACUGAUUAUAUGAACAAAAGAAUACAAAAGAGCAAUUCGCUACACACACUUUUUUCUGAAAGUACAGGGGUAUUCCGGUAAAAAGAAGAAUACAAAAGAGCAAUUCUCUCUCUCUCUCUCUCUAGAGUAAGGCCGAACAAGUAUGGAGUUAUCCUUCUUUUUUUAUCACGUUGGUGGAACUCAGAUUGGAACUCUACUCGAUCCGGACCAAGACCACAGUUCAAUUUGGAAUUCGCAACAGAUUCGACAGAGAGAAGAUAUGGUAAUACUCGGCUGUGUAUAGAUGGUGACAAGAACUCGAAACUCUAAAGGACAGGACACUAAGACCAGCAACUCGACACAAACCGAAGCAACGCAAAUUCAACAAGCCCUAACUAAAACGGUACUAGCCAAGGCACAAAGGUUUAAUAGGAUUAUGGAAAAACUAAUCUACUUUAUUUUCUUGGCUUUUCUGGACUACAGG
Molecule: long non-coding RNA, 1135 nt
Filed under: Sorghum bicolor (sorghum)
Lineage: Eukaryota; Viridiplantae; Streptophyta; Magnoliopsida; Poales; Poaceae
Description: long non-coding RNA (SBIC_LNC010448)
Source: RNAcentral